RNAcentral lists this non-coding RNA (23 nucleotides) under Rattus norvegicus (Norway rat). Lineage: Eukaryota; Metazoa; Chordata; Mammalia; Rodentia; Muridae. The record is from RNAcentral.
UUGAUAUGAGGGCUCUGUCUCCA